AGUAAAUAGCUCUAAAUGUGAAAAUGAUGGGAUUCAACCGAGCACAGGUAAACGGUGGAAGUAACUUUGACAUUCUUAGGGUAGCCAAAUGCCUUAUCAUCUAAUUCAUGACGCGCAU
RNAcentral lists this non-coding RNA (118 nucleotides) under Wuchereria bancrofti. Its description in RNAcentral is "Eukaryotic large subunit ribosomal RNA". It matches the Rfam family "Eukaryotic large subunit ribosomal RNA", at positions 2200 to 2316 of the family's 3401-position model. Lineage: Eukaryota; Metazoa; Nematoda; Chromadorea; Rhabditida; Onchocercidae. The record is from Rfam by way of RNAcentral.